AGAGUUUGAUCCUGGCUCAGAACGAACGCUGGCGGCAGGCUUAACACAUGCAAGUCGAACGAUCCCUUCGGGGAUAGUGGCAGACGGGUGAGUAACGCGUGGGAACCUACCUUUAGGUACGGAACAACAGUUGGAAACGACUGCUAAUACCGUAUGUGCCCUAUGGGGGAAAGAUUUAUCGCCUAAGGAUGGGCCCGCGUUGGAUUAGCUAGUUGGUGGGGUAAUGGCCUACCAAGGCGACGAUCCAUAGCUGGUCUGAGAGGAUGAUCAGCCACACUGGGACUGAGACACGGCCCAGACUCCUACGGGAGGCAGCAGUGGGGAAUAUUGGACAAUGGGGGCAACCCUGAUCCAGCCAUGCCGCGUGAGUGAUGAAGGCCCUAGGGUUGUAAAGCUCUUUCAGCGAGGAGGAUAAUGACGUUACUCGCAGAAGAAGCCCCGGCUAACUUCGUGCCAGCAGCCGCGGUAAUACGAAGGGGGCUAGCGUUGUUCGGAAUCACUGGGCGUAAAGCGCAAGUAGGCGGAUUGAUAAGUUAGGGGUGAAAUCCCGGGGCUCAACCUCAAAACUACCUUUAAUACUAUCAAUCUUAAUCC
Molecule: ribosomal RNA, 594 nt
Filed under: uncultured Labrenzia sp.
Lineage: Bacteria; Pseudomonadati; Pseudomonadota; Alphaproteobacteria; Hyphomicrobiales; Stappiaceae
Description: bacterial SSU rRNA
Rfam family: Bacterial small subunit ribosomal RNA
Source: RNAcentral